This is a long non-coding RNA of Betta splendens (Siamese fighting fish), 2343 nucleotides long. Lineage: Eukaryota; Metazoa; Chordata; Actinopteri; Anabantiformes; Osphronemidae. The record is from Ensembl.
AUGGCUUCGGCUGCUUCAGAGCACAUCAACCCUCGCUUCUGGGGGCUGUUUUGUGAGCAUGUCAGGGCUGUGUGCACCUCGCCGGCUCCAUGGGGCCGGCUGUACGGAUUAAAUCGAUUGGACGAUUUAAUCGUUGUCGUGCCGCAGUUCCACGCAAUUCCGGGAGUUCCGGAAUUGGUCACGUGGUUCCCCGCGCUACGGGAGGAGUUGGCUGCCCAGUGGGCCGGACGCCCGCCAUCACAGGGGGAUCUAGCACUGCGGUCUGGAUUUUUGGCAGCGGCCAGAACAGCGGUGGCCUAUUUUUAUUCAGGGGCGCCAACAGACUCUCAACCGGCAGCGGUUUCUGCCGUAGCUCCGCCCACGGCUCCCGUCACUCAGAUGGAGACCGUGCCCGGAGCUGUUUGUCUCUCUCCCUCCGAGGCUCGGAGUAUAUUGAAGGAGCUGAAGGGACAGGGUGAUGGAACGGUGGAUUUUAAACGGACAAUUAAGCCACGUUCGACCAUAUCCGUUCCUGGUGGUCUGGAGAUGACCACGGCCGUUCCUGGUGGUCUGGAGAAGGCCAUGUCUGUUCCUGAGGGUGGUCCGGUUCCGGCUCCACGUCUGGUUUCGUCUCCGGUUCCGGCUCCACGUCCACGUCUGGUUUCGUCUCCGGUUCCGGCUCCACGUCUGGUUUCGGCUCCGGUUCCGGCUCCACGUCUGGUUUCGGCUCCGGUUCAGGCUCCACGUCUGGUUUCGUCUUUGUCUCCGGUUCCGGCUCCACGUCCACGUCUGGGUUCGUCUCCGGUUCCGGCUCCACGUCCACGUCUGGUUUCGUCUCCGGUUCCGGCUCCACGUCCGCGUCUGGUUUCGUCUCCGGUUCCGGCUCCAAGUCUGGUUUCGUCUCCGGUUCCGGCUCCACGUCUGGUUUCGUCUCUGUCUCCGUCUCCGGCUCCACGUCUGGUUUCGGCUCCGGUUCCGGCUCCACGUCUGGUUUCGUCUUUGUCUCCGGUUCCGGCUCCACGUCCACGUCUGGUUUCGUCUCCGGUUCCGGCUCCACGUCCGCGUCUGGUUUCGUCUCCGGUUCCGGCUCCAAGUCUGGUUUCGUCUCCGGUUCCGGCUCCACGUCUGGUUUCGUCUCUGUCUCCGUCUCCGGCUCCACGUCUGGUUUCGUCUCCGGUUCCGGCUCCAUGUCUGGUUUCGUCUCCGGUCCCGGCUCCACGUCUGGUUUCGUCUCUGUCUCCGUCUCCGGCUCCACGUCUGGUUUCGUCUCCGGUCCCGGCUCCACGUCUGGUUUCGUCUCUGUCUCCGUCUCCGUCUCCACGUCUGGUUUCGUCUCCGGUCCCGGCUCCACGUCUGGCUUCGUCUUUGGCUCCGGUUCCGGCUCCACGUCUGGCUUCGUCUCCAGUUCCGGCUCCACGUCUGGUUUCGUCUCCGGUUCCGGCUCCACGUCUGCCCUCCAAGAAGGGCGCUUCUCUGAGGGUGGGGCUGCUUCUGGUUUCCCCGAGGGCAGCACCUCGUACGGUUCCUGUCGUCAAGCCACGUUUGACCCUUGAGGUUCCUGGUGGUCCAGUGGAGGCCACGUUUCGUCGCGGUGGUCCGAAGAGGACGCCGUUGGUUCCUGUGCGUCGCGGUGGUCCAAAGAGGACGCCGUUGGUUCCUGUUCGUCGCGGUGGUCCAAAGAGGACGCCGCUGGUUCCUGUUCGUCGCGGUGGUCCAAAGAGGACGCCGCUGGUUCCUGUUCGUCGCGGUGGUUCAAGGAGGACGCCGCUGGUUCCUGUUCGUCGCGGUGGUCCAAGGAGGACGCCGCUGGUUCCUGUUCGUCGCGGUGGUCCAGGGAGGACGCCGCUGGUUCCCGUUUGUCGUUGCGGUGGUCCAGGGAGGACGCCGCUGGUUUCCGUUUGUCGUCGCGGUGGUCCAGGGAGGACGCCGCUGGUUCCCGUUUGUCGUCGCGGUGGUCCAAGGAGGACGCCGCUGGUUCCCGUUUGUCGUCGCGGUGGUCCAAGGAGGACGCCGCUGGUUCCUGUUCGUCGGCGCGGAGGUCCAAGGAGGACGCCGCUGGUUCCCGUUCGUCGGCGCGGUGGUCCAAGGAGGACGCCGCUGGUUCCCGUUCGUCGGCGCGGUGGUCCAAGGAGGACGCCACUGGUUCCCGUUCGUCUUGGUGGUCCACAAGGGGCCUUAGGGCUCAUGGGGGCUAUGCCACCGGACUGGUCGCCUUGCCGCCAUAAUCACCCGCUGCUACGCUGGCUCUGCCUCUACCGUCGACGCCCACUCAGGGAGCUGGGCCCGUGUUCAGGGGCACCAGGAGUGCCAGUCGACUCCCAGCGGCUGCUGGGUUGGACCCUGCCUCGUUGGCACCCACCAUGA